AAAAAUUAUCGUAGUUAUAUUUACAGUGCUUUUCGGCAGCGCCUUAUCAGUUGUUUUGAUUUAGUUUAGCACAAUGGCCGAAGAUGAGGAACAGCUUACUGAGAGUAAUCCUAACAUUAAUACAAUUAGUGAAUUACCGGCGAAGAAAUUCUCUAUUACGAUGGAGUUCCCCUUGUUUGUUGUGAUGAUGGCAAUGUCGCUCUCUGAUAUAAACCUUAUGACUAUGCUGAAUGAAUCAUUUUGGAGCGGCAAUGAGCAACAUUAUACUCUACCGAACAUGCGUACACGGUUUGAACCACACGGAAGACGAAUGCAGGCCAUUCCUCUCACCAGACAAAAACAACCAGACGCAUGGCUUAGAAGCUGAAGUUCAGAAGUACGCGACAAUCGUUGGAACAGUAAGGGGUAUCAUAGAAGCGGUAGUGCCAGCGAUUCUGUCCUUCUUCCUAGGAGUAUGGUCUGACACGCAUGGACGAAAACCGCUGAUUGUGUGGCCGCUUUUGGGUAUAACAUUUUCUUCUGGAAUGUUCGUGGUCUACAGUAUGAUGGACAAUUUGGGACCCUGGUGGUUCAUUUUGACAGUCAUCCCUUAUUCCCUCAGUGGGGGAUUUACAAUAUUUUUUACUGGGGCAUUUUGUUACAUGAGUGACAUCACGACGGUUGAGAAUAGAUCUCUUAGAAUGACCCUUAUGGAAGCUACUGUGGGACUAGGCAGUGUAGUGGGAGGUUUAUUAAGUCCUUAUGUCUUAAGGAUGGUUGGGAAUGUGUAUCUACUGUUGAUAUCUGCAGCGUUGAAUGUUAUAGCAUACGUAUUUUCAAAUGUUUGUUUGAGGGAAUCAUUAAAUGGAGCAAUACAGGGUGGUAUCACUUCAGUAUUAGACUUCUUAUUAGUCAAAGAGAUGAUGAGAGAAUGUUUCAAACGGCGACCAAACAAUGGCCGGGCACAAAUACUUCUCCUAACGGUCGCUAACUGCUUGUCCAUAUUUACACUGUACGGACUUAUAGGUCUGGAAUAUCUCUACGUGAGGAAAAAACUUAAUUGGGCAAUGAAAGAGUAUACGCAAUUUUCAGCUUCGAGUACUGUGAUAGGUUUUAUCGGAUCUUUUAUAGGCAUUGUCAUACUACAAAAACUAUUUAGAAUAAGUGACUUAGUUAUAACAAAUUUAGCAUUUUUAACGACAAUAGUUGAAUACGUUAUUAGAACGUUUGCUACGAAGUCAUGGCACAUGUACUUGGGAGCCUCAGUAUCGUCGCUCAAAGGUCUAAGUGCGCCUUUGAUCCGAUCGUUUUUGACAAAAAUAUUGCCCGUUGUGGAUAUAGCGAAGGUGUUUUCGUUGAUGUCAGCGAUCGAAGGCCUGUGUCCAUUGUUCUCUCCUUUGCUCUUCAACUCGCUGUAUCAGUUCACCGUCACAACAUUCCCAGGAUCGAUUUAUAUGCUCAGCAGUGGAGUUGCUCUUAUUAGCGCCGUGUGCAUAUCGGUGGUUCAAUAUUAUCGAUGGAAUGUGUCAUCGCCAUACCAGCCUUUGGCUUCAGCAUAGUAUAUUUUAAGAUAUUCUGAAGUCAUGAAUAAUACGUUGUACCAGUCUUUAGAGCAAUACAGUUCUGUAGUGAGUGACCAGAUAAUACAUAAUAAGCUUCUAGUAGGCUGGUAAUAUCACUUGAUGGCACUUUACCGUAGUUACUUAGUAAGUAAGAAGACUGAAAAUGUCAUAUCUAUCAAUGAAAACCGACGAACAUAUGAACAGCACGUGGUUGCACUGUGGUAUUAAUUAAGUAAAAAUAUUUUCUAUAAGUUUUAGGUUUGGAUUGGAACGUUUUUAUUAGAAUCAAAGUAAUGUGAUAUGUAGGAUUUAAGAUUUCACGAUACCCGAUGGUAGUAAAAUAUGUUUAAAGAUUUUUAAAAGUUAGGCAUCAUAAUAAUGUAUUUACUUCAAUUACAUGAAAGAAAACUGUUUCUGACGAAGUUUCCAAGCUGAUCAGAAAACGGAUUCAAAUGUCUAAAAGAAAUGUAUGUUUUAUAUCGCCAUAAUGCCUGUGGGGUUAAUGCACCCAUUCACAUUUUAUAUUAAUAUUCAAUAUAUUCAAUGAAGCUAGUGAUGACUUUUAUAAAUUAUUAUUUUCUUCAUUUUUAUAAAAAUAUAAAAUUCUUGUUUGCAAUUAAAAAGAUUUAGGUAUUGGAACACAAAUUUAUGGAGACGCUGAUUUUGUCGAAUAAUAACAAUAACUUGUUGGUUAUUAUUUUUGAAUAAAAACAUGUUAAUGCACCCAUACACGUUUUAUAUUAAUAUUCAAUGAAGUUUGUGAUGCUGCUCAAUAUGGACUUUUAGAAAUUAUUAUUUCCUUGAGUUUUAAUGGAAAUUUACACAUUAUAAUUCUUGUUUGCCAUAAAAACAAUAUAGGUAUUGGAAUAUGGAGACACUGAUAUUUUGUGGAAUGAUAAAUACUUGUUAGGUUAUUGCUUAUUUUUCUGUCAAGUUCAACAGCUUGGAAGAUACAAAGAUACCCAAUAUUGAAAUCUUAUCUAUAUAAUAUUAUAGGAAUGGAUUGUUAUUAUAAAAUAUUGGGGCAUAUCAUCUCAUACCCAAAUUUUAAUAGGCCUGAACUGGAUGUCCGCAAUUGAACACAAUUUCAGGCCUUCUAAGUCCGGCGAUCAAUAUUAACGAGUCCGGAGUUUUGAACUACGGCGCCUGGUUUCAAGUUUACUAGAUAUUUUUUUAAAUUAAUUUUCGGCUUGAAAAGCCAGUGAUAGAAUAAUCAGGAAAUCGUUGAAACGUUUUUGGCAUAUUGGUGCUAUUUGAUCAUUAUAGAAAAUUGAACACGCUAUUGUCGCAUUUAAGUUAGUAAAAUUAAUUGUGAAGAGGUACAUUAUAAAAUUAAACAAAUGACUCCUUA
Helicoverpa zea (corn earworm) is the source of this 2892-nucleotide RNA transcript. It is a transcript of the gene named proton-coupled folate transporter-like, with no coding region annotated. The transcript is spliced from 10 exons. The record is from RefSeq and is a predicted model, not a curated record. NCBI's taxonomy places the organism in Eukaryota, Metazoa, Arthropoda, Insecta, Lepidoptera, Noctuidae.